AGAUGAUGACUCUCGAGGACUUCCUCGCUAAGGCCAAUGUCGUCAAUGACGCCAGCCAUAACCAUGACCAUAACCACGACCUCGACUAUGACAAUGUCCUUUCACGAACCCCUACACCGAGUCACUCUUCAAAUUCAUUAUAUUCAUAUUUCCCCUUCAAAUUCGUAAUCCGCUUCAAAUCCACUCUUCAAUCCCAAUGGAGGAUUCCAAGGGAGUCCUCAACUUUGAUUUUGAGGGCAACCUCAAUGCCACCCC
Molecule: long non-coding RNA, 255 nt
Filed under: Glycine max (soybean)
Lineage: Eukaryota; Viridiplantae; Streptophyta; Magnoliopsida; Fabales; Fabaceae
Description: long non-coding RNA (GMAX_LNC000455)
Source: RNAcentral